UGGGGAAUCUUGGACAAUGGGGGCAACCCUGAUCCAGCCAUGCCGCGUGAGUGAUGAAGGCCUUAGGGUCGUAAAGCUCUUUCGCCUGUGAAGAUAAUGACGGUAGCAGGUAAAGAAACCCCGGCUAACUCCGUGCCAGCAGCCGCGGUAAUACGGAGGGGGUUAGCGUUGUUCGGAAUUACUGGGCGUAAAGCGCACGUAGGCGGAUCGGAAAGUUGGGGGUGAAAUCCCGGGGGCUCAACCCCGGAACUGCCUCCAAAACUAUUGGUCUAGAGUUCGAGAGAGGUGAGUGGAAUUCCAAGUGUAGAGGUGAAAUUCGUAGAUAUUUGGAGGAACACCAGUGGCGAAGGCGGCUCACUGGCUCGAUACUGACGCUGAGGUGCGAAAGUGUGGGGAGCAAACAGGAUUAGAUACCCUGGUAGUCCACACCGUAAAACGAUGAAUGCCAGUCGUCGGGUAGCAUGCUAUUCGGUGACACACCUAACGGAUUAAGCAUUCC
RNAcentral lists this ribosomal RNA (499 nucleotides) under uncultured bacterium. RNAcentral describes it as "bacterial SSU rRNA". It matches the Rfam family "Bacterial small subunit ribosomal RNA", at positions 355 to 870 of the family's 1533-position model. The record is from RNAcentral.